CCAUUAAUUGGUGUUGCGGGAAUUGGACUGUACUUUGAAAAAAUUAGAGUGUUUAAAGCAAGCUAACGCUUGAAUACAUUAGCAUGGAAUAAUGAAAUAGGACGUUCGAUCCUAAUUUUGUUGGUUUCUAGGAUUGACGUAAUGAUUAAUAGGGAUAGUUGGGGGCAUUAGUAUUCAAUUGUCAGAGGUGAAAUUCUUGGAUUUAUUGAAAGACUAACUACUGCGAAAGCAUUUGCCAAGGAUGUUUUCAUUAAUCAAGAACGAAAGUUAGGGGAUCGAAGACGAUCAGAUACCGUCGUAGUCUUAACCAUAAACUAUGCCGACUAGGGAUCGGAUGAUGUUAAUUUUUUAAUGACUCAUUCGGCGCCUUACG
Molecule: ribosomal RNA, 373 nt
Filed under: uncultured Glomus
Lineage: Eukaryota; Fungi; Glomeromycota; Glomeromycetes; Glomerales; Glomeraceae
Description: SSU rRNA
Rfam family: Eukaryotic small subunit ribosomal RNA
Source: RNAcentral